RNAcentral lists this long non-coding RNA (209 nucleotides) under Elaeis guineensis (African oil palm). RNAcentral describes it as "long non-coding RNA (EGUI_LNC013570)". The record is from RNAcentral. Lineage: Eukaryota; Viridiplantae; Streptophyta; Magnoliopsida; Arecales; Arecaceae.
CAUCAGUGUGUAUCAAACCCAACACAUCACUGGCUCAUUCAUCUUUUUCAAUAAAAGAUGACUUGGUCAUCUUUCUAAGCAAACAAGACUCACAGGUAGGUAACGAUUCAUAAUUAUCUUUAUCAAGAAUCUCUUCUUGAGCUAAUCUGUUCAUCAUGUUCUUAUUGAUAUGACCUAGCCUAUAAUAUCAAAGGUAGGUAUCUGUGACA